CUACGGGUCGCUGCAGUGAGGAAUAUUGCACAAUGGGGGGAACCCUGAUGCAGCAACGCCGCGUGGAGGAUGACGCAUUUCGGUGUGUAAACUCCUUUUAUAUGUCAAGAAAAUGACGGUAGCAUAUGAAUAAGCGCCGGCUAACUCCGUGCCAGCAGCCGCGGUAAUACGGAGGGCGCAAGCGUUACUCGGAAUCACUGGGCGUAAAGGACGCGUAGGCGGGUUGAAAAGUCAGGUGUGAAAGCCUACAGCUUAACUGUAGAACUGCACUUGAAACUCUCAACCUAGAGUAUGGGAGGGGCAGAUGGAAUUAGUGGUGUAGGGGUAAAAUCCGUAGAUAUCACUAGGAAUACCUAAAGCGAAGGCGAUCUGCUGGAACAUUACUGACGCUAAGGCGUGAAAGCGUGGGGAGCAAACAGGAUUAGAUACCCCAGUAGUC
This 439-nucleotide ribosomal RNA is filed under the name uncultured bacterium. RNAcentral's name for it is "partial 16S ribosomal RNA". It matches the Rfam family "Bacterial small subunit ribosomal RNA", at positions 339 to 795 of the family's 1533-position model. The record is from RNAcentral.